Molecule: long non-coding RNA, 516 nt
Organism: Molossus molossus (Pallas's mastiff bat)
Lineage: Eukaryota; Metazoa; Chordata; Mammalia; Chiroptera; Molossidae
Exons: 3
Source: RefSeq, a predicted model, not a curated record
CUCUCUGGACUGCAGGCUGACUCUAACCGCUGAGCAAAAUCGACCAGGGCCAACUAUAUCCUUUCUUGAACAAACAUCUGUGUCCUCUUAAUCCGCGCCUCCCUCUCCCCCAAGUCUUGCACUUGUUCCUUAUUUACUCAGCAGGAGACCUGACUGGGACUUGGAUUUCUCCUCAUCACUUGCUUCCCCAAUCAAGAGCCCAAGUUCAACAGCCUUGGGCUCUAGAGACUCCUAUUGUCCCAGAGAGACUGAAUUGGGUUGAGGCCCAUAGCACAUCUUCUCUCUGGGAUAAGGUACUAUUCUUAGAUCCCAGGCUCAGGUGACUGAGGCAUUAAGGCAAGCUGUGCAGGCCUGUUGGAAGAGUAAGAGCAGCAGAAGUACCAAAUCUGUUCCCUGGAAGCAUCACUCAGGUUGCUGCAGAGGGGCCCAGAGCUGAAGGUUCUUGUCCUAGAGCAACACCUGGAUGGGCUGAGAAGGGAACUACAGGGCCUUGGAAGCAGGUGCAGGAGCAGACCC